Molecule: ribosomal RNA, 253 nt
Filed under: uncultured bacterium
Lineage: Bacteria
Description: partial 16S ribosomal RNA
Rfam family: Bacterial small subunit ribosomal RNA
Source: RNAcentral
UACGGAGGGGGCUAGCGUUGUUCGGAAUUACUGGGCGUAAAGCGCGCGUAGGCGGAUCUGCAAGUCGGGGGUGAAAUCCCGAGGCUCAACCUCGGAACUGCCUUCGAUACUGCGGGUCUCGAGUCCGGGAGAGGUGAGUGGAAUUCCUAGUGUAGAGGUGAAAUUCGUAGAUAUUCGCAAGAACACCAGUGGCGAAGGCGGCUCACUGGCCCGUUACUGACGCUGAGGCACGAAAGCGUGGGGAGCAAACAGG